AUGCUCGCCACGGCGGCCGGACACAAAAAAAAAGGGGGGGCUGAAAGCGCCCGGACCGUGCUCCGGGACCCCGCGAGCAACAAAGGCCGCGGCGGGGCGGCGAGGGGGGAGCGGCGGGCACAGCGCACCGCCGGGCGCCCCCCGGCCGAGCCCGGCUGCGUUGGUCGCUGCCCCCCGAGCCCUGCCGCCGAGCCGGGCCGCUCCCGAGGCGGUGCUGAGCCCCGAGCCCUCGGCUCCUUACCUGCUGGGCGGCUCCGGCAAUGCGGCUGCGGGCGGGGAGCAGCGGCGGGGCCGCUCCCCGGGGCGCUGGGGAGGGAGAGCCGCUCCCGCCGCCCCGGCCCGGCCACGGCGGGGAACUUCGGCGGGGCGGCGGCGCCCGGAGCUCCUGCUGCCGCCCGCGGGGUGCGGGACGGAGGGAGGCGGGCAGGGAGGCAGGGAAGGAGGCAGGGAAGGAGGGAAGGAGGCAGGCGGCAGGGCGGGGACGGGCGGCCCGCGGGGGCGAGCCGGAGGCGGCGGGGCCAGGGCCGGGGCCGGGGCCGGGGCGGCGCGGUGCGGGGAGUCACGGCGCAGGAAUGCCAGGAAUGUGGGGCGGCCGCUGAGACGUCGGGGACACGACUUGGGAUUUCUUUUUUUUUAAAAAAAAUACUCUCCCCCCCCCUCCCUUUAGGAAAGAGGAGGGCUGAAGCCCCCCCGGAGGAGGGAAGAGGAGGGAGGAAGAGGAGGGCGCACGCCGCUGCCAAUGGGGGCGGCUGCCCCGAGCAGCCCUCCCCGGGCGCGGACAGCGCUGAGGGUUUGGGGCCGGCCCGCGGCGCCUCCCCGCCCCUUUUCCGCCUCCCCGGGCCGGCAGGGACCGGCCGGGACGGCCUCUCGAAGCUCCUGUGCCCCCCCGGGCAGCUGGCUGCCCAUCUCCGGCAGCCUCGCCUUGGGCACGCGGCAGCUGCUCCCCGCCGAGCCCCCUUCGCCUGUGGCUCCCCGCAGGGCAGGGAGAGGGCUGCGGGAGAGGGGCCGCUGUGGGGUCAUCGUGCCGUGCUGGGGAGUGGGGGGGUAAAACACGGUGCUGCUUUGAAGCAGGAAGGGUGCCCGGUGCUUGGCAGACACGGGCAUGGCCUCCCGGAGUGGGCAUCGCCUCCCAAAGCGGGUAUGGCCUCCUGA
Anser brachyrhynchus (Pink-footed goose) is the source of this 1152-nucleotide long non-coding RNA. NCBI's taxonomy places the organism in Eukaryota, Metazoa, Chordata, Aves, Anseriformes, Anatidae. The record is from Ensembl.